This 481-nucleotide ribosomal RNA is filed under the name uncultured bacterium. RNAcentral's name for it is "partial 16S ribosomal RNA". It matches the Rfam family "Bacterial small subunit ribosomal RNA", at positions 28 to 507 of the family's 1533-position model. The record is from RNAcentral.
GAUGAACGCUGGCGGCGUGCCUAACACAUGCAAGUCGAACGGAGAUUCCGGACGGACGUUUUCGGAUGGAAGCCUGUAAUUCUUAGUGGCGGACGGGUGAGUAACGCGUGGGCAACCUGCCCUAUACAGGGGGAUAGCAGCUGGAAACGGCUGGUAAGACCGCAUAAGUCGGUUAAAUCGCAUGAUUUGUUCGGCAAAUGAGCAAUCAGGUAUAGGAUGGGCCUGCGUCCGAUUAGCAAGUUGGCAGGGUAAAAGCCUACCAAAGCGACGAUCGGUAGCCGGACUGAGAGGUCGGACGGCCACAUUGGGGCUGAGACACGGCCCGGACUCCUACGGGAGGCAGCAGUGGGUGAUAUUGCACAAUGGAGGAAGCUCUGAUGCAGCGACGCCGCGUGAGUGAAGAAGUAUUGCAGUAUGUAAAGCUCUAUCAGCAGGGAAGAUGAUGACGGUACCUGACUAAGAAGCCCCGGCUAACUACGUG